This is a long non-coding RNA of Salvia hispanica, 607 nucleotides long. RefSeq lists it as uncharacterized. Lineage: Eukaryota; Viridiplantae; Streptophyta; Magnoliopsida; Lamiales; Lamiaceae. The record is from RefSeq and is a predicted model, not a curated record.
UCUAACCAAUUAAUAAACUUCCGAAAAUCAAGUUUGUGUGUGCUCGACCUUAAUCCAGAUAAUUCCGUCGGCAGAGGAAAAAUGGCGACUUGCGAGGUGUACAGGAUAUCGACGAUCGGGAUGUGCUUGACGGAAACUCUGGUUAGUAGGGGUGUGCUGACUGCUGAGCCAUUCAAGUUCUUCUUCAGUUCGAAAAGUCAAUGACAGAGACUCUGGAAAAUGAGGUGAAGACCAAGGUCUCCAUUAAGGUAGACAAGACUCCAUCUGAAAGAAAAGUUUCAUUAAUAUCUUACCAAUAUACAUGUCCUUGUUAUUCUGGCAAGAAUAUAUAAUUAAAGUUGGAUUAUGGAUUGAAGGGCUUCAUUUUCUGACUGUAUUUUCAACUAUUGUUAAAGCUAAACUUGUUGGUUUCUUGCGGAGCUUUUUCUUGUGAACUUUAUUGGCCUCAAUGCUUGAAGGGUCUCAUAAGAGUAUCUGAGUAUAUAGCUGUUUAGUAGUAGAUCAUAAACAUUUAGCUUCUGGUUGUUCUAGCUACAAGUACAAUAUGCCAUGUUGAUGAUAAUGUAGUCCUAAAUUAACUAAUUAGGUAUUGUACUGAAGUCUGAAA